Long non-coding RNA from Myzus persicae (green peach aphid), 967 nucleotides. RefSeq lists it as uncharacterized. The record is from RefSeq and is a predicted model, not a curated record. NCBI's taxonomy places the organism in Eukaryota, Metazoa, Arthropoda, Insecta, Hemiptera, Aphididae. The transcript has 3 exons.
AUUAGCUAAGGUGUUAGGUGCAUAUAUCUAAUAUGUGACAUUGUGAGAUUAUUUUCCAUUUGAGCGGCCUUUACAAGGACCAACCAACAAAAACUGUUUUACGGCCGGAACGUGAUUUCUUUGUUUUUUCGCCAUAAGGCGACAACAUUAUUUUAAUAUGUGUAUAUUAUCGUGUUGAAGUGAUUCGUAUAAAUGAAAAACCGUAAAUAAUCAACCGUAGGCAGGUACACCAAUGUACACACAGGCGUGGAUGAUCGUCGUACAACGUAUAACUAGAAGUUAUCUGCAUUUUUGCCUCCUAAUAUAAAUGGCAGACUUCAACAUCCUUAUUAAGUGUACCCACGUGCCAUGUUGUCUUCGUCUUACAAACGCGUAACAUACCAACAAUUUCGUUCAACAUAAUUUAUUGGUAUAGGGACCUAUGUAUAUUUUAAAUUCGAAGCGAGUUAUGAGCAUUUCACAAUUAAAUGAAGUGCUGCAGGGACUGCCAUACUAGGGGGACACGAUUGGUGACUUGUUGAAGAGAACAACUUCAGUGAUAUUAAAAUAACAGUUUAUGAAUUGGAUUAUUCUGAAAGUAAAAUUUGGUAUGUUAUAUACGUAUGUGACAUGCGUUAGUAAGAUGGAGACAAUAACACACCAUGCGGGUACGACGUCGUUUUAACUAGCUAUGAAUGAAAAAACCCUUAACUUAACUCAAUAAAAAUAUAAUGAGACUUUUUUUUAUCGUUUCCUGAAAAGAUGUUUUUUUACUUUUUCCUUUUUACUCGCUCAUCGUCUCCAUUAACAAAAUGUACGUAAUAAAUCGCUGCAGUCGUUGACAUUCCCAGCUAUUUAACCGUUACGUUUUGAUCCGAAUAACCGACUGCACUCGUCAUGUAUAUAUGGCCAUCAUAAUAUAUUCAUAUCACGACUAAAACUUAUUCUCGUGUUAUACCGUUUUGUGUCUUUGUACUAUAUUAUAAGU